UACGUAGGGUGCAAGCGUUGUCCGGAAUUAUUGGGCGUAAAGAGCUCGUAGGCGGUCUGUCGCGUCGGCUGUGAAAACUCGGGGCUCAACUCCGAGCUUGCAGUCGAUACGGGCAGGCUAGAGUUCGGCAGGGGAGACUGGAAUUCCUGGUGUAGCGGUGAAAUGCGCAGAUAUCAAGUGGAACACCAGUGGCGAAGGCGAGUCUCUGGACAUUUCCUGACGCUGAGGCACGAAAGCCAGGGGAGCAAACGGG
RNAcentral lists this ribosomal RNA (253 nucleotides) under uncultured bacterium. RNAcentral describes it as "partial 16S ribosomal RNA". It matches the Rfam family "Bacterial small subunit ribosomal RNA", at positions 524 to 776 of the family's 1533-position model. The record is from RNAcentral.